CCUACGGGCGGCAGCAGUGGGGAAUAUUGCACAAUGGGGGGAACCCUGAUGCAGCGACGCCGCGUGAGUGAAGAAGUAUUUCGGUAUGUAAAGCUCUGUCAGCAGGGAAGAAGAAAGACGGUACCUGACCAAGAAGCCCCGGCUAACUACGUGCCAGCAGCCGCGGUAAUACGUAGGGGGCAAGCGUUAUCCGGAUUUAUUGGGUUUAAAGGGUGCGUAGGCGGAUCGUUAAGUCAGUGGUCAAAUUGAGGGGCUCAACCCCUUCCCGCCAUUGAAACUGGCGCUCUUGAGUGGAAGAGAAGUAUGCGGAAUGCGUGGUGUAGCGGUGAAAUGCAUAGAUAGCGCGCAGAACCCCGAUUGCGAAGGCAGCAUGCCGGCUUCCGACUGACGCUGAAGCACGAAAGCGUGGGGAUCGAACAGGAUUAGAGACCCUUGUAGUC
This 440-nucleotide ribosomal RNA is filed under the name uncultured bacterium. RNAcentral describes it as "partial 16S ribosomal RNA". It matches the Rfam family "Bacterial small subunit ribosomal RNA", at positions 338 to 795 of the family's 1533-position model. The record is from RNAcentral.